RNAcentral lists this ribosomal RNA (462 nucleotides) under Escherichia coli. Its description in RNAcentral is "partial 23S ribosomal RNA". It matches the Rfam family "Bacterial large subunit ribosomal RNA", at positions 809 to 1268 of the family's 2925-position model. Lineage: Bacteria; Pseudomonadati; Pseudomonadota; Gammaproteobacteria; Enterobacterales; Enterobacteriaceae. The record is from RNAcentral.
UUGUGGCUGGGGGUGAAAGGCCAAUCAAACCGGGAGAUAGCUGGUUCUCCCCGAAAGCUAUUUAGGUAGCGCCUCGUGAAUUCAUCUCCGGGGGUAGAGCACUGUUUCGGCAAGGGGGUCAUCCCGACUUACCAACCCGAUGCAAACUGCGAAUACCGGAGAAUGUUAUCACGGGAGACACACGGCGGGUGCUAACGUCCGUCGUGAAGAGGGAAACAACCCAGACCGCCAGCUAAGGUCCCAAAGUCAUGGUUAAGUGGGAAACGAUGUGGGAAGGCCCAGACAGCCAGGAUGUUGGCUUAGAAGCAGCCAUCAUUUAAAGAAAGCGUAAUAGCUCACUGGUCGAGUCGGCCUGCGCGGAAGAUGUAACGGGGCUAAACCAUGCACCGAAGCUGCGGCAGCGACACUGUGUGUUGUUGGGUAGGGGAGCGUUCUGUAAGCCUGUGAAGGUGUGCUGUGAGG